Molecule: ribosomal RNA, 951 nt
Filed under: Leuconostoc mesenteroides
Lineage: Bacteria; Bacillati; Bacillota; Bacilli; Lactobacillales; Lactobacillaceae
Description: bacterial SSU rRNA
Rfam family: Bacterial small subunit ribosomal RNA
Source: RNAcentral
GAUACGCUGGCGGCGUGCCUAAUACAUGCAAGUCGAACGCACAGCGAAAGGUGCUUGCACCUUUCAAGUGAGUGGCGAACGGGUGAGUAACACGUGGACAACCUGCCUCAAGGCUGGGGAUAACAUUUGGAAACAGAUGCUAAUACCGAAUAAAACUUAGUGUCGCAUGACACAAAGUUAAAAGGCGCUUCGGCGUCACCUAGAGAUGGAUCCGCGGUGCAUUAGUUAGUUGGUGGGGUAAAGGCCUACCAAGACAAUGAUGCAUAGCCGAGUUGAGAGACUGAUCGGCCACAUUGGGACUGAGACACGGCCCAAACUCCUACGGGAGGCUGCAGUAGGGAAUCUUCCACAAUGGGCGAAAGCCUGAUGGAGCAACGCCGCGUGUGUGAUGAAGGCUUUCGGGUCGUAAAGCACUGUUGUAUGGGAAGAACAGCUAGAAUAGGAAAUGAUUUUAGUUUGACGGUACCAUACCAGAAAGGGACGGCUAAAUACGUGCCAGCAGCCGCGGUAAUACGUAUGUCCCGAGCGUUAUCCGGAUUUAUUGGGCGUAAAGCGAGCGCAGACGGUUUAUUAAGUCUGAUGUGAAAGCCCGGAGCUCAACUCCGGAAUGGCAUUGGAAACUGGUUAACUUGAGUGCAGUAGAGGUAAGUGGAACUCCAUGUGUAGCGGUGGAAUGCGUAGAUAUAUGGAAGAACACCAGUGGCGAAGGCGGCUUACUGGACUGCAACUGACGUUGAGGCUCGAAAGUGUGGGUAGCAAACAGGAUUAGAUACCCUGGUAGUCCACACCGUAAACGAUGAACACUAGGUGUUAGGAGGUUUCCGCCUCUUAGUGCCGAAGCUAACGCAUUAAGUGUUCCGCCUGGGGAGUACGACCGCAAGGUUGAAACUCAAAGGAAUUGACGGGGACCCGCACAAGCGGGGGAGCAUGUGGUUUAAUUCGAAGCAACGC